Molecule: ribosomal RNA, 465 nt
Filed under: uncultured bacterium
Lineage: Bacteria
Description: partial 16S ribosomal RNA
Rfam family: Bacterial small subunit ribosomal RNA
Source: RNAcentral
CUACGGGGUGCUGCAGUCGAGAAUCUUUCGCAAUGGGGGAAACCCUGACGAAGCGACGCCGCGUGUACGAUGAAGGUUUUCGGAUUGUAAAGUACUGUCACAAGGGACGAAAAACUUAUUGGUGAAUAAUCAGUAAGCUUGACGGUACCUUGAGAGGAAGCACCGGCUAACUCCGUGCCAGCAGCCGCGGUAAUACGGAGGGUGCAAGCGUUGUUCGGAUUUACUGGGUGUAAAGAGUACGUAGGCGGUUUGAAAAGUUAUAUGUGAAAUCUCUGGGCUUAACCCAGAAACUGCAUUUAAAACUCUCAAACUAGAGUAUGAUAGGGGAAGAUGGAAUUCUCGGUGUAAGGGUGAAAUCUGCAGAUAUCGAGAGGAACACCAGUAGCGAAGGCGAUCUUCUGGGUCAAUACUGACGCUGAGGUACGAAAGCUAGGGGAGCGAACGGGAUUAGAUACCCCGGUAGUC